GCGGGCAUAACUCAGCGGUAGAGUGCGACCUUCACACGGUCGAAGUCGUAGGUUCAAGUCCUACUGCCCGCACCA
Molecule: transfer RNA, 75 nt
Filed under: Deltaproteobacteria bacterium
Lineage: Bacteria; Pseudomonadati; Myxococcota; Myxococcia
Also listed under: 2 other names
Description: tRNA-Val
Rfam family: tRNA
About the family: Transfer RNA (tRNA) molecules are approximately 80 nucleotides in length. Their secondary structure includes four short double-helical elements and three loops (D, anti-codon, and T loops).
Source: RNAcentral